This 634-nucleotide long non-coding RNA is filed under the name Mus musculus (house mouse). Its description in RNAcentral is "long non-coding RNA chrX:53314532-53315166". Lineage: Eukaryota; Metazoa; Chordata; Mammalia; Rodentia; Muridae. The record is from RNAcentral.
GUGGCGCCCAGCCGGAAUGGCAUGAUCCUGAAGCCCCACUUCCACAAGGAUUGGCAGCAGUGUGGAUACUUGGUUCAACCAGUAGGCGCACAAGAUCUGCAGGCACAAGGCAGGGCAGGUGAAAGCGUGCAGCAUCGCCCCUCGUCCCGCGACCGGCCCCAUCAGGCUCAUCAUGAGGUGCCCUAAAGUGAGAUACCACACCAAGGUCUGGGCUGGCAGGGGGCUUCAGCCUGGAGGAGCUCAGGGUGGCUGGCAUCCACAAGAAAAUAGCUCGCACCAUCGGCAUCUCUGUGGACCCGAGGAGGCGAGAAACAAGUCCAUGGAGUCACUGCAGGCCAACGUGCAGCACCUGAAGGAGGACCACCCCAAGCUCAUACUUUUCCCCAGGAAGCCUUCUGCUCCAAAGAAAGGAGACAGCUUUGCUGAAGAACUUAAGCUGGCCACGCAGCUGACAGGACCCGUGAUGCCCAUCUGGAAUGUGUACAAAAAGGAAAAGGCCAGAGUCAUCACAGAAGAAAAGAACUUUAAGGCUUUUUUGCCAGUCUCCGAAUGGCCUGUGCCAAUGCCAGACUCUGGCAUCCGAGCAAAAAGGGCGAAGGAAGCUGCAGAGCAAGACGUUGAAAAGAAAAAGUAA